GCGUGUGUCGAAAUAGUGCGCUUCUUCUAAUAUACAUGUAUCUUCCGCCAGGCAAAUCCAAAUAUAGCAAGACAUCCGAACCGGGAAUCGAUAAAAAUUCAGAUCAGUCGGUGACACUGGUAUCUAAAGAUAUUAGGCCACGUAACAAGAAACAUCGACAAAUCGUAACGGUCAUCAAAUUCGUGAUGGUCGGAGUAGUUUUUUUUUAGAGCCGUGGUGUAGUGGUUAGUGCAUCGGACUAC
This 242-nucleotide long non-coding RNA is filed under the name Mytilus galloprovincialis (Mediterranean mussel). The record is from RNAcentral. Lineage: Eukaryota; Metazoa; Mollusca; Bivalvia; Mytilida; Mytilidae.